RNAcentral lists this ribosomal RNA (550 nucleotides) under Anaplasma bovis. RNAcentral's name for it is "bacterial SSU rRNA". It matches the Rfam family "Bacterial small subunit ribosomal RNA", at positions 72 to 655 of the family's 1533-position model. The record is from RNAcentral. Lineage: Bacteria; Pseudomonadati; Pseudomonadota; Alphaproteobacteria; Rickettsiales; Anaplasmataceae.
CUCGUAGCUUGCUAUGAGAACAAUUAGUGGCAGACGGGUGAGUAAUGCAUAGGAUCUACCUAGUAGUAUAGGAUAGCCACUAGAAGUGGUGGGUAAUACUGUAUAAUCCCUGCGGGGGAAAGAUUUAUCGCUACAUGAUGAGCCUAUGUUAGAUUAGCUAGUUGGUGGGGUAAUGGCCUACCAAGGCAGUGAUCUAUAGCUGGUCUGAGAGGAUGAUCAGCCACACUGGAACUGAGACACGGUCCAGACUCCUACGGGAGGCAGCAGUGGGGAAUAUUGGACAAUGGGCGCAAGCCUGAUCCAGCUAUGCCGCGUGAGUGAGGAAGGCCUUAGGGUUGUAAAACUCUUUCAGUGGGGAAGAUAAUGACGGUACCCACAGAAGAAGUCCCGGCAAACUCCGUGCCAGCAGCCGCGGUAAUACGGAGGGGGCAAGCGUUGUUCGGAAUUAUUGGGCGUAAAGGGCAUGUAGGUGGUUUGGUUAGUUAAAGGUGAAAUGCCAGGGCUUAACCCUGGAGCYGCUWUUAAUACUGCCAGACUGGAGUCCGGGAGA